RNAcentral lists this long non-coding RNA (461 nucleotides) under Sinocyclocheilus grahami. Its description in RNAcentral is "lncRNA (ENSSGRG00000040505.1)". Lineage: Eukaryota; Metazoa; Chordata; Actinopteri; Cypriniformes; Cyprinidae. The record is from RNAcentral.
UAGGGUUAUUUGUUUUGGAACGUAAGAACACACUCACUUUUUUCUUCAUUGUUUCAAAGGUCGAGACCAGAUAAAGGAACGUCUCCAGCGCCCUCUUGUACAUCUCUACAAAGUGACCAGUCACUGGAUCGACCGAUACUGUUCAAAAAUGGAACUCAGAGCAAUGAAAGGUUGAGACAAAGUCAAACAGCAUCUCCAGCCCCUUCAUGCACGUCUCUAGAAAGUGACCAGUCACUAGAUCGUCCGAUACUGUUCAAAGAUGGAGCAGAGAGUUUUCUUAGCAAUAAAAGAAUGAGACCAGAUAAAAUAACAUCUCCAGCACCUUCUUCUACAUCUCUGCAAAGUGACCAGUCACUGGAUCGACCGAUACUGUUUAACGAUGGAGCUCUGGGGAAUGAAAGGUAUGAGCAUUGAAAAUUUCUGUUGGGAUGCACAAGUUUUGGUAUAAAUUCAGUAUUCGC